This 2358-nucleotide long non-coding RNA is filed under the name Equus caballus (horse). RNAcentral describes it as "lncRNA (ENSECAG00000048861.1)". The record is from RNAcentral. Lineage: Eukaryota; Metazoa; Chordata; Mammalia; Perissodactyla; Equidae.
GCCAUUCUCACCCUUGAGACCUUGUUAUGAUGAGGGUAAAAGAUUUUCCAAGAACAUAUAAAACCCCAAAAGCAAAUAAUUUAUGUGAGAGGAGAUGAUAGGAACGAAAUAUGGGAAGUUGGCAAACAGUCAACGUCAGUGGUACAUGACUUAGCAGAUCUAAGAAUGCUGAGCGCGAUGUCGGCAGAGGGGAAACUAAUUGGCCAUGGUAGCCUCCCAGUGCUCCAGAAGAGGGAUGAGGCGGUGAAAAGAAGAGGGUUGGCUGAAAGUCAGUUUCCGAAGCGCAAAGUUUGGCAGCUUUGGUGUGGAAGCUGAGAAAGAGACGGUGAGAUGGCUGGUUACCCAAUGCGGAGAUCUGUGAUGUCUUUAUGUGAUUCUGGCCCCGUUGGAUGAAAAGUACUGUUAAAAAGAUGGAUGCCCUCAGGCUGCCUCUUCACACCGGCUCCCUCUGUGCAUGCGCCCCCUAGUGUCUCUUCUUUGUGUGUCCAAAUUUCCUUUUACAAGGACGCCAGUCAGGUUGGAUGAGGGCCCACCCUAACCAUCUCAUUUUAACUAAUCACCUCUUUAAACAUCCCAUCUCCAAAUACAGUCACACUGGAGAUACUGGAUGCUAAGACUUCAAUAUAUGAAUUUUGGGGGACACAAUUCAGUCCUUAGCAAAGACCUUGGCAUUUUACUUGCUUAACAAGGAAACUAUUUGAACAAACCAAAGUAAUAGAAUGCAUCAACUUUGUGGCAUUUUCAACCCUCCAAUUACUUUUCACUUUUCCCUGCUGCACCCAUAUCCCAGCCCGAAUGACCUGAGAGGGAACAACCCAGGUUGUGUCACUGGCGAGUACUGUACACAACAGCCAGCUCUUAGCUUUUACUAUGAAGAGUCCUUGCGACAAAAAUGUUCCCGGGGGCAGCCUCUUAUUUCUGGAAUGCUUUAGAAUCUGUUAAGGACUUCCACCAGGCCAACCAAGAUGUUAUCUUUUUCCACUCCAAAUAGGAGAUCUACGCUAGUGCUUAAGCCUUGCUCAUAUUAUAAAAUCUCCAAAUUGCUUUUAGUUCUUCUCUCUUAAUUACGAACUGACAGCCAAUGAUCAACAGAUGUAUUAGGAAAACCUCUAAAACGAGAGAGAAAAACCACAGUAAAAACAGACAAUGUAGGAAGUGUAAGAAAAGCCUAUUAUAAUUAAUAUCAUUAGACAGAUAAGAGAUUCCUUUCAUGAAACAAGGAUAUGAUAUUAUUUAAAAACAUGCAAAGAACGAGAAAGAGCUUUUGCACAUUAAAACACAUAAUAGCAUAAAUUAAAAAUUCAAUAUUAUGGGCUGGCCCAGUGGUGCAGCAGUUAAGUGUGCACGUUCUGCUUUGGUGGCCCGGGGUCCGCUGGUUUGGAUCCUGGGUGUGGACCUACAUACUGCUUGUAAAGCCAUGCUGUGGCAGGCGUCCUGCAUCAAAGUAGAAGAAGAUGGGCAUGGAUGUUAACUCAGGGCCAAUCAUCCUCACCAAAAAGAGGAGGAUUGGUAGCAGAUGUUAGCUCAGGGCUAAUCUUCCUCAAAAUAAAUAAAUUAAUUAGUUAAAUAAAAAUUCAAUAAUAAGGCAGAAAAUAAAGUCAAGAAAGUUUCACAGAAAGCAAACAUCAAAGACCAAGAAACAGAAACUAUGAUAAAGAAGGUAAGAAAAUUAGAAUGUCAUGGAGGAUAUCUAAUCUAACUAAUAGGUAUUCUAGAAGAGAGGACAGAAAAGAAGGGAGGAGGAAAUGACCAAUGGAAUACUCUAAAGAGUUUCUUAAAACAAAGCGUGUGGUUUUAGAUAGAAAGGCCCAUAAGCACUCAGCACAAUAGAUAAAGACCCAAGUCAAGAAACUUCAUAAAACUUGACGUAUCAGACAUGAAGAGAGAUCCCCAAAUUGUCUAGGGUGAAAAACAUGUCACACACACACAAAAGUGGAAAUCAGAAUGGCACUGGCCCUUUUAACAGUAAUACCGUAAUGUAGAAGAUAGUGGAGCAAGAUCUUCAAACUUCUAAGGAUUUUGAAUCAACAAUUCUAAAAUUAUCAAUUAGGUGAGUAGGUAACACAAAUUCUUAGACACGCAAGUUCUCAAAAAAAAAUUUUGGAAAUUAGGUAAAGUAGGUGGGUGGCAUGUCCUUUCAUUGUCGUUUGGGACCAAAGGCUAUGCACAGAUACUGAGCCUGGGCAGUAUCAUCCUCAAGGGGAUACAAAUUAGUUCUUGGAGGGCAAAAAUAUCUUAGCUGUUAGAAUAGUUUGUGGUCCUCCAAAGCUCAGCCUUACUCUACCCUUAACUAAAGAAUUAAAUAAAAAUUCUUUAUAUUCAAUUUCUCCUUUUGAAUUUUCUUGGCUAUCACACCAG